RNAcentral lists this long non-coding RNA (256 nucleotides) under Theobroma cacao (cacao). RNAcentral describes it as "long non-coding RNA (TCAC_LNC001146)". Lineage: Eukaryota; Viridiplantae; Streptophyta; Magnoliopsida; Malvales; Malvaceae. The record is from RNAcentral.
CUACCUUGUGUUGAGUGAGGAUGAAUUUGAUUUUUAUUUUAAGAGAAUUGGUUAGAAAAUGAUGAAUUAUGGUGUGAAAAAGUAGUAGAAAAAAUCAUGGUGUUAAUGCACCAUUAUUGACCAAAAAUUCUAAGAAGAAAAGUGAAGAUAGUUUUGCCAAAUUUUAGGUUAUUUGACUUGAGUUUGGUGAAUUAAGAUAUUGGAAAAGAAAUGGAGCAAUUUGGAGCUAAAUUGGACGCGUUGGCCAAUUAAUCGG